This 74-nucleotide transfer RNA is filed under the name Clostridiales bacterium. Its description in RNAcentral is "tRNA-Gly". It matches the Rfam family "tRNA". Rfam says of the family: Transfer RNA (tRNA) molecules are approximately 80 nucleotides in length. Their secondary structure includes four short double-helical elements and three loops (D, anti-codon, and T loops). Further hydrogen bonds mediate the characteristic L-shaped molecular structure. tRNAs have two regions of fundamental functional importance: the anti-codon, which is responsible for specific mRNA codon recognition, and the 3' end, to which the tRNAs corresponding amino acid is attached (by aminoacyl-tRNA synthetases). tRNAs cope with the degeneracy of the genetic code in two manners: having more than one tRNA (with a specific anti-codon) for a particular amino acid; and 'wobble' base-pairing, i.e. permitting non-standard base-pairing at the 3rd anti-codon position. RNAcentral also lists the same sequence under 1 other name. The record is from RNAcentral. Lineage: Bacteria; Bacillati; Bacillota; Clostridia; Eubacteriales.
GCGGAAGUAGUUCAAUGGUAGAACGAUAGCUUCCCAAGCUAUAGACGCGGGUUCGAUUCCCGUCUUCCGCUCCA